UUUUUUUUUUUUUUUCUUUUUGGUGGCACCUGCAGUAUAUGGAAGUUUCCGGGCCAGGGAUCAAAUCUGAGCUGAAGCUGCAGCCUAUGUCAUAGCUGCAGCAACGCCAGAUCCUUAACCCACAGUGCCAGGCUAGGGAUUAAACUGGCACCUCCAGAAAGAUAAGCCAGAUCAUUAACCCACUGGACCACAAUAGGAACUCCCAAGAUGUGUGCUUGAUUGCAUGUCUGCAAGAUCACAAUCAUGCUGGAGUUCCCGUUGUGGCACAGCAGAAACCAAUCAGACUAGGAACCAUGGGGUUUCGGGUUCAAUCCCUGGCCUUGCUCAAUGGGUUCGGGAUCCAGUGUGGCUGUGAGCUAUGGUGUAGGUCGAAGAUGCGGCUUGGAUCUGGCAUUGCUGUGGCUCUUGGUGUAGGCUGGUGGCUGUGGCUCUGAUUCGACUCCUAGCCUGGGAACCUCCAUAUGCCUCGGAAGGUGGCCCUGGAAAAGGCAAAAAGACAAAAAAGAAAAAUAAAUAAAUAAAAAAUAAAGUUUGCCAAUAUACAGAAUGCUAAUGUAAAAGACAGUUUGUAAUUGUUUAUUUCUUAGUUUUCACUAGAAAUUAAGGUUUUUAAAAAGUGAGAAUUCUGGAGUUCUCUUGGUGGUAUCAGUAGGUUAAGAAUCUGAUGUUGUCACCACUGUGGUGCAGGUCACACUUGUGGCAUGGGUUUAUAUCCUGGCCCAGGAACUUCUGCAUGCUGUGGGUGAGACCAAAAUAAUUUUUUUUUGAAAAUUCUAAUUAAUACAUACCAUUAAGAUUACUAAGCUAAGGAGUUCCCACUGUGGUGCAGUGGGAUCAGGAGCAUCUCUGCAGAGCCAGGACACAGAUGCAAUCCCUGGCCUAGCACAGUGGGUUAAAAGGAUCCUGAGUUGCUGCAGCUGUAGCAUAAGUUGCAGCCGUGGCUCAGAUCUGAUGCCUGGCCCAGAACACCUGGCUGCCAAGGGGCAGCCAAAACCAAAAAAACAAACAAACAAAAAACCCUACUAAGUUAAUAUGGACAGCAUCUUUGUGUGUAAGAAAAAAGAAGGUCUAAGAAAUAGAAAUGCAUUUUAUUAAGGGAAAAAAAUAAUUCUUUCUUAAAGUUAUUUACUUUUAAAUGGGAAAGAAAAUAAGGGACAAAUUAAUAAGAAGUAGAAAGUUGAAGGUUUGUGAGGAAAAAAGAAAGAAACUUUAGAAGGAAUCUUGUAUGUGGUCAGGACUAAAAUUAGAAUAAAGUUAAUCAAGUAAAUCAAUUUUAGUAUUGACGGCAAAACAGUACCAAAUCUGGAUUUGGUUUUCUCUCUCUUAAGAAGGCUGUUUUCUUAGAGUAUUCAUCUGCUUUGUAUAACAGAUUAUAAAUUUUCUUUGUGUUUUUAAGUAAUUUGUUAUACCUUUAGGCAUUUGCCUUUGAAACCUUUUCUUGUCACUUGGUUAAGUGAAAAAGUAUUGUUUCACGGUGACUUAUGCUAUUUGCCAAAGUAUUUUAAAGCCUUUUGAUAAUUUUGGUAAACCUCCCAAAGAUACUUGGCCUCUAGCUCACGCUGAGAUUUUCCAAAGGGCCAUGGGACACCUCAAGGGUUUAUCUCCUCUCCUUAUCAAAGAUAGAAAUAUUAAACCUAUUAGGCUCAUUUUGUUUGUUAAAUUACACAGGAAGCAUUUCAAAUGAGUGGUGAUAAACAUUCCUAGGUUAUAUUGAAGGGGAAAAUGUUAUUAAUAUAGAUAGUUUGGAAAUUAUUGGAAUUCCUAAAGAUCUGGUGUGCCUUGGUAAAAUGUUAUCAGUUGUAACUCUAUCAUCUUUAAAUGUCAUAUGUCCCGGUAGCAAACAAGUUUGUCAGUUGGAUUGUCAUCAGAUCUUUAAGCAUGCCUUUUGAAAUCUUUGUCACUCAUAACAGUUGCUGUUUCUCUGAUGCCUUUGCAAAAAUGCGUCUUCUUUGAGAAGAUGUGUAGAAAAAGCUUUUGACAAGCGCAGGUUUCUGAUAAAUUUCAGAUCAUGCCCCUGAACUGGGUAAGAAAUGCGAAAAUGCUAAUGGAAUCCUCAUGGUUUCAUAAGUGUUAAUAAGAGAUCAAGAUGGUUACAAAGGACUGAGUGGACUAACAGCUAUGUGUUAGAACUUUUAUGAUUUUUCUUUUCUGAAAUAUUACUGGCUUUGAAUGUUUUCCAGAUAGAAGGAAACCUUUCCCCUUAAGCUAAUUAUGACCUCCAGCAAUUUGGUAAAAUUACAUCUUUAUAGGCAGAAUUGAAACAUUUAUCUUUUCUCUAAUGAUUCCUUCAAAAUUAUAAACCACCCUUAGGAUACUAGCACCUUAUCAGGUGCGCAAGGGUGGCCACCUCCUGACAGGUGCAAAAGUCUAAAGAUACUUUGAGAGAAAUUCACCCAAAUCUAUAGAUAUCACAGGUGGGGUCGGAUGCCAAGCCUUUUAAAAAUUUAACCUGAGAUUCCUUAUCAAAAGUUCCAGCAAAGCCGUUUCUUUAAAAAGACCCUGGAUAACUAGUUGCACUUAUGUCAAUAGUAGGUCCAAGUUUAUUGACAUCAGACUUAUUUUUUUGCAAACAAAUUAGUUUUAAUUUGGCUGUUGGAUAGAAACCAGGGUAAUCUUAGAAAGAAAACUUAUGUUUCAGUGGCUGUUAAAUUCCAGUGCUGUUAAAUGGGGUGCGUAUUUCCUGCCUAAGACGGACUUUCCAGAUGAUCGUCCCUGUUAUGUUACAUUACUGUAACAUUUAGUUGACUUGUUAAAAGGACACCCUCAGUUUGUUUCUGAAGCUUAUCAUAGCAGUCUAUCUUUGGAGGAAGAUCAGAUGCCCCAUAACCUGUAACCGGGAGAUUCUGCAUAUUGGAAAAAGUAUGUGGAUGACCACCUCCAACCUAGGUGGAAGGAUCCUCAUCAGGGGCUCAAUUACUCAUGCGCAGAAAAACGGAAGGAAAUUGACUUUUAUUUAUUUUCUAUGUUUUUGCCUUUUCUAGGGCCACCUCCUGCGGCCUAUGGAGGUUCCCAGGCUGGGGGUCGAAUCAGAGCUGUAGCUGCCGGCCUGCGCCAGAGCCACAGCAACUCGGGAUCCGAGCCGCGUUUGCAACCUACACCACAGCUCACGGCAACGCCUGCUCCUUAACCCACUAAGCAAGGCCAGGGAUCGAACCUGAAGCCUCAUGGUUCCUAAUCGGAUUCAGUAGCCGCUGCACCACGACGGGAACUCCAGGAAAUUGAUUUUAGAUUCAUAUCUUCUACCUAAAAAGGCUCUCUGCACUGGACUGAUGUGUAGAGAGAAUGGCUCACCUAAACUCACCUUAAAACAACACUCAGAGAGGAGAAGCUACACAAUAAUUUUGUGGACUUUUGCAUAAAUCAGGGUUUUUCUAUCAUGUGCAGAAAUUCUAUGCAGAGUCUUAAAAUUAAUUCUGUUGUUGAUCUUUUGAUCAAUUACCUACAUCCAGGACUUCUGGGCUACCUUGGUGGAUUUCUCCUCUGCAGGGCUCUUUAUGGAUGGCCCUUAGGAAAUUUAUUCUAGAAGAAAGAAGUUACAGUUUUGUUCAAGGAACUAUUGAUAUUAGAUGGGACCCCCUCACUUGGCCAGUCAGUGGGACUUGCUCUGACCAUGGCUAUAAAUAUGAAUUUUCUUUUAAAGUUACCCAAGCUCAAUCAGAACAACAAGCUAAAUUUUAGUCAAUGAAUAUGUCUUCCCAAUUAUUAGGAAGGACUCUCCUUCAGUUAUGGGAGGGGUUUAUUUGACUAACCCCAGAUUAUGGUCAUUUAUAUUUAAAAGCCCCCUUACAUUGAGAAUAGUUAAAUGUACUAAGAAUGAUCAGCCUAAUGACACUAGGAAAUGAGUCUGGGUGUCUUACGAAUAAUACCAAUAUGUCAUUUACUUUUAAGAUGGCCAUUGGUACAGAACAGACUAGAUCAGAUGAGCUGGGGAUAUACUGGGUGGCAACAAAUGGAAACUCUUGGCUUAAAUAUUUGCUUAUGACCCUAUGAAUGUUGGCUUGUCUUUUAUUUCUAAAGGUGUAACAGCCUCUGAUAAAAAUGGUGACUCAGCAAUUUGAAACGAUUGCCCAGAUAAACAGUUCUUUAUGAACUAAUGAGUGUAAUAGUAUAACUCUAGAUAUGGGAAGAAACAGCAAGGGGGAAUUUUACCUGGAUCAUAACAGACCAGUAAGACAGGUGGCCCAGAUACCUUUGGCUGCUAUUAGCAGAGCAUAGUCCGGGAAAGCAUCCUGAGUGGCUACCAAUGAAAUCCUGGCCUGACCCAGGAAAAAGCCAUCUUAGCACCCUGGGAUACCAUGGUCCAGAAUUGCCUCCUAAAUCGAGGUUGAAUUUAUAACCACGAGGGGGCGCUGUAGCUAAAGAAUAUCCCCGGCCCUCUGGUUCUACAAACAGUCAAGUCACUAGUAGUCACUGAUGCGCAACACACCCUGCAGAGAGUUCAGGAAAGCGAUGGAAAACGAGACACUCUGGGAUCUGGGAAAACUGGUAGAACGGGACUUCAGAUAAUUAGAUAUUUUCAGGAGAAAAUUUCAUGAAUCCACAUUUCUUUCAUCUUUCCAUACCUAGCAAAGCACUAAAGUCAUUAACUGAGAUAUCUGCUCCUCCUCGUGACGCGCAGCGACCUUCUCCCGAGAUGCGUGCUUGAUUGUGCUUCUCCACAAUCACAUAUAGCUGAUAAGCCUGCUUCUGACUCUCGGGAGCAGUUCCUGGAGCUAUCUGAGAGGCAGUCUCCUGGGCUGUGGACAGUCCUCAGUAAGUCCCCAGACUGUGGAUUCUCAUCGUAGAGACCAAGAAGAAAUGCACCUUUGCUGAGGGGACACCCGUCUUUGCUCUGGUGUCCCCUCCUGAGCCUGCCUCUGGUUUCCUUUCUGUUUGCUCCCUUAUCUCCUCCAUCAACACCUGGGAGUCACUUGGGACUUGAUGUAUAGGAAAGUUUUUGGGGAAGAGGGGGUGGUUUCAGAGGAGAGCUUUGUCUGUCAGAAGGUGUAGAGCAGCCCUCAGUCACCUGGAGCUAACGGAGACCUGAAACCUCUGUGUGGUCUGGUUUGUAGCAGGCAGGCUUAUGUGAUUUGCCUAGUCAGGAUGAAAGGAGAAGUUACAAGUUAAGGGUUAAGGCUUAUUUUGGCUGGUGGGUGGGGGGGAGGGUACACCAACCAGUCUGCUUUCUCUUUCCUUCAGGCCAAUACCAUCAUGUACCCUUGGGUAACCGCCCUGGUCCUCAUACUCCUUCUGACAGGUAAGGAAAUAGGUGGGUUGUGUUUUAGAAGUCCAGGGGAUCUGGGAGCGGGGUGGGGGGGGUGAGAGGGUGUGUGGAUGUGGUGGAGGAAGAUAGAUAUUCUUGGGCUUUGUUUGUUGCAAGGGAGUGGGGUCAACUAGUGAGCAAAGAACCAGGCUGAAACCUUAAGCCAAAGAAACGGCAUAAAUGCUAAGAAUUUCAAAAUCCAUGGGUAGGUGAAGAAGGCAUGUUGCAGCACCGUAUGUUGUGUGUUGCUAUUUGUGCUUAAACCAGAAAAGGUAUGAGUUGGGAGUUCUCUGAUGGUCUAAUGGUUAGGACUCAUUGCCUUCAUCACUGUGGCCCAGGUUCAGCCUCUGGUCUGGAAACUGAGCUGCAUCAAGCUGUUGAAAGCCGUGGCCAAAAAACCCCCCAAAGCAAAAAAGGGAUGGGUAGAU
This 5670-nucleotide transfer RNA is filed under the name Sus scrofa (pig). RNAcentral describes it as "lncRNA (ENSSSCG00045008053.1)". Lineage: Eukaryota; Metazoa; Chordata; Mammalia; Artiodactyla; Suidae. The record is from RNAcentral.